Molecule: ribosomal RNA, 255 nt
Filed under: Listeria monocytogenes
Lineage: Bacteria; Bacillati; Bacillota; Bacilli; Caryophanales; Listeriaceae
Description: partial 16S ribosomal RNA
Rfam family: Bacterial small subunit ribosomal RNA
Source: RNAcentral
ACUCUGGAGACAGAGCUUUCCCUUCGGGGACAAAGUGACAGGUGGUGCAUGGUUGUCGUCAGCUCGUGUCGUGAGAUGUUGGGUUAAGUCCCGCAACGAGCGCAACCCUUGAUUUUAGUUGCCAGCAGUUAGUUGGGCACUCUAAAGUGACUGCCGGUGCAAGCCGGAGGAAGGUGGGGAUGACGUCAAAUCAUCAUGCCCCUUAUGACCUGGGCUACACACGUGCUACAAUGGAUAGUACAAAGGGUCGCGAAG